AGAUGCUAAAUACUACUCAAAAGACCUACAUAUAUGCUAGAAGCCUGACUAUCUAUAGCGACUGGAGAAAAGAAAGAUGCAUGUAUUACACUAAGGUAGACUUGAAUGAGACGGACUAUGACUUCAAUUUAUUCAUGCCCUUCCUCAAGAACCCCGAUAUGCGAGACCGACAAAGUGAACUUGCAUUGAGCCAGGCUGAACCCAUCCAUUUACAUGCAAAACUGGGAAAUGGUACUGAAGAUCCGGGUCCCUAUAUGCAGGUAGACGAUUGGCCUGGGCUUGGGAACAUCACAAAAAAACUUUGGUUGUACAGUUACCCUGGACAAUGUGGCAUUAUGAUAUUUCCGUGGCAAGGGAGGAUCCACUGUGAGGUCCAUGUGCGACAACAAGGACUUCCGAGACGAGGUAGCCACACCAUAUACCAUAUUUGUGAACGACUUUUUAGGGUACUUUGUAGUGAUGAUUAUAUGCACAUUAUUUACGGUGACGACUGUAGAACGAAACAGAAUAAAUAAUUAUAGAUGCCGCUUUCCUUUUGUAGGCUUGUAUUAGACGAAGUAAGAUUGAAUAAAGAAAUCAGUUUUCUAUAGGUUGGAAAAUUAUCGUUAUUACGAACACAAAAUAAAACGAAAUGGUGCAGCAAAUAAAGUGAUGUGAAAGACGGCUCAAAAUAUGUAA
This is a long non-coding RNA of Dermacentor silvarum, 678 nucleotides long. RefSeq lists it as uncharacterized. Lineage: Eukaryota; Metazoa; Arthropoda; Arachnida; Ixodida; Ixodidae. The record is from RefSeq and is a predicted model, not a curated record. The transcript is spliced from 5 exons.